Molecule: transfer RNA, 66 nt
Filed under: [Clostridium] leptum
Lineage: Bacteria; Bacillati; Bacillota; Clostridia; Eubacteriales; Oscillospiraceae
Also listed under: 1 other name
Rfam family: tRNA
About the family: Transfer RNA (tRNA) molecules are approximately 80 nucleotides in length. Their secondary structure includes four short double-helical elements and three loops (D, anti-codon, and T loops).
Source: RNAcentral
GGUGUAGCCAAGCGGUAAGGCAACGGACUUUGACUCCGUCAUUGCGCUGGUUCGAAUCCAGCCAUC